RNAcentral lists this ribosomal RNA (443 nucleotides) under Cytauxzoon sp. RNAcentral describes it as "SSU rRNA". It matches the Rfam family "Eukaryotic small subunit ribosomal RNA", at positions 549 to 1025 of the family's 1831-position model. Lineage: Eukaryota; Apicomplexa; Aconoidasida; Piroplasmida; Theileriidae. The record is from RNAcentral.
UGGAGGGNAAGUCUGGUGCCAGCAGCCNCGGUAAUUCCAGCUCCAAUAGCGUAUAUUAAACUUGUUGCAGUUAAAAAGCUCGUAGUUGAAUUUUUGCUGCUUCUUUGUUUUCCCUUUCGGGUUUGCCUCGUUGUGGCUUUUUCCGGUUUUUGCUUUUGCUUUUUCCGGAUUGUUACUUUGAGAAAAUUAGAGUGCUUCAAGCAGGCUUUUGCCUUGAAUACUUUAGCAUGGAAUAACUAAGUAGGACUUUGGUUCUAUUUUGUUGGGUUAAGAGCCAAAGUAAUGAUUAAUAGGAACAGUUGGGGGCAUUCGUAUUUAACUGUCANAGGUGAAAUUCUUAGAUUUGUUAAAGACGAACUACUGCNANAGCAUUUGCCANGGAUGUUUUCAUUAAUCAAGAACGAAAGUUAGGGGAUCGAAGACGAUCAGAUACCGUCCUAAUC